This 305-nucleotide ribosomal RNA is filed under the name Partula cf. otaheitana. Its description in RNAcentral is "partial 16S ribosomal RNA". Lineage: Eukaryota; Metazoa; Mollusca; Gastropoda; Stylommatophora; Partulidae. The record is from RNAcentral.
GGAAUAACUGUUUCAAUGAAACUAAAAAGAAAUUUCUUAAUAGGUGAAAAUUCCUUUAAUUAAUAUAAUAGACGAGAAGACCCUAAGAAUUAUAUAUAAAAAUUAUUCAUUUAUAAAAUUUUUGUUGGGGCAACAGAUUUGGUUAAAUCAAUAAUUUUUAAAUUUGCGCAUUAAGUAUAUUUAAUAAGAAUUUAAUUACCUUAGGGAUAACAGCAUUAUUAAUAUAUUAGAUUGUGACCUCGAUGUUGGACUAGGGACUUUUAAAGUAAGCCAUUUUAAAAGAUUGUUCUGUUCGAACAUAGAAC